UGGUGUACAUCAUCGACUUCGGGCUGGCA
This 29-nucleotide non-coding RNA is filed under the name Homo sapiens (human). Lineage: Eukaryota; Metazoa; Chordata; Mammalia; Primates; Hominidae. The record is from RNAcentral.